UCCUCCGCCUCAAAGGUCGGUCUUCAUUCAGUCACGCCACAGCAAGUGGCAACUCUUCAAGGCGGAAGCGUCCGCUAGAACGGAGGCUUUCACUGACUUGCUUUCCUUUUGGGAGAGGAAGAAUCUAAAAGCAGGAAAAAAAGAUGGCCUGACUAAUCAUAAAAGGCUGCCGCUAUCUGGCAGGCAAGAUUGGCAGUGUUUUCAGCUCCUCCAGUAAGACCAAGGCUCAGAGCAGCCAGGUCAAAGGUGAGAAGCAUGACCUGGCAAAUGCAUCAGCAAAUGAUGACUUGCUCCCAGAAACGCUGCCAAAAUCCGGAGCUGUGGUCAAGCAGUGCGGGUCCUGAGGGUAAAGGCUGUACUGGUCUCCGUCCUGGCUACGCAGAUCAGUGCAUCAUGGUGACCUCCUGACAAGACUACAUAUGUACAUCAUGGCAAAGAAUGAUGAUUUGCUCAGUAACUCUCUGUCCAGGGAGAUGAGCACUUCUGAAAAUACCUGCUGUGUUUUUAAAGUUUUCCAAUUAAAAAUCACUUGUGCUUAA
Hypanus sabinus (Atlantic stingray) is the source of this 539-nucleotide long non-coding RNA. RefSeq lists it as uncharacterized. NCBI's taxonomy places the organism in Eukaryota, Metazoa, Chordata, Chondrichthyes, Myliobatiformes, Dasyatidae. The transcript has 3 exons. The record is from RefSeq and is a predicted model, not a curated record.